GAUGAAGAACGUAGCGAAAUGCGAUAAGUAAUGUGAAUUGCAGAAUUCAGUGAAUCAUCGAAUCUUUGAACGCACAUUGCGCCCGCCAGUAUUCUGGCGGGCAUGCCUGUUCGAGCGUCAUUACAACCCUCAGGCCCCCGGGCCUGGCGUUGGGGAUCGGCGGAGCCCCCCGUGGGCACACGCCGUCCCCCAAAUGCAGUGGCGGUCCCGCCGCAGCUUCCAUCGCGUAGUAGCUAACACCUCGCGACUGGAGAGCGGCGCGGCCACGCCGUAAAACACCCAACUCUUCUGAAGUUGACCUCGAAUCAGGUAGGAAUACCCGCUGAACUUAAGCAUGUCAAUAAGCGGAGGA
This 352-nucleotide unclassified non-coding RNA is filed under the name soil metagenome. RNAcentral's name for it is "partial contains 5.8S ribosomal RNA, internal transcribed spacer 2, and large subunit ribosomal RNA". The stretch from base 1 to 120 matches the Rfam family "5.8S ribosomal RNA", at positions 35 to 154 of the family's 154-position model. The record is from RNAcentral.